This is a non-coding RNA of Paramuricea clavata, 134 nucleotides long. The record is from the annotation of a GenBank genome assembly. Lineage: Eukaryota; Metazoa; Cnidaria; Anthozoa; Malacalcyonacea; Plexauridae.
UGGGAGCAAUAUUGAUACAUCACAUGUCUUGUAACCAUGACAAUGUGAUCACGGAUUCUCCCUACAAUAACAUUGCUCUCUGAUGACUACAAGAUUAGAAGCACAUCUUGUGGACAGAUACGGGGCAGACAUCG